CGGAGGAUGACCAGCUGGUGGGUUUUGGGACUCGUGCCUACAGCACCUGGCGAGAGGUCUGGGAGAGCAGGGAGGACGGCUAUGCAUCCUUCAUCCUGAAGAAGAAGAACUGCACUGCAAGCACAAAGAUGCAUAAGCUACAACUCUACCUGAAGAAGAAGCUGCAGCCACCCACUGUCUCCCCUCUGAUGUCACACGCCUCACCUGUGAUGUCACACGCCUCACAUGCUCCUGCUGAAGCCAUUGUGAUGGAUGAAGAUGAAGAGCUGGAGAGGAUGAUGCUGAGCAUCUCUCCUUCAAAGCAACAUGUGCAGAGCUCUGUUUCUGCAUCUUCGUCAUCCUCCUCAUCUGCCAG
Pseudoliparis swirei is the source of this 355-nucleotide long non-coding RNA. RefSeq lists it as uncharacterized. The transcript is spliced from 3 exons. The record is from RefSeq and is a predicted model, not a curated record. NCBI's taxonomy places the organism in Eukaryota, Metazoa, Chordata, Actinopteri, Perciformes, Liparidae.